UACGAGGGGGGGCGAGCGUUGUUCGGAAUUAUUGGGCGUAAAGGGUGCGUAGGCGGCCUGACAAGUCUGAUGUGAAAUCCCCUGGGGCUCAACCCGGGGGCCUGCAUCGGAAACUGUCGGGCUUGAGUAUGGGGAGAGGUGAGUGGAAUUUCCGGUGUAGCGGUGAAAUGCGUAGAUAUCGGAAGGAACACCUGUGGCGAAAAGCGGCUCACUGGGCCUUACCUGACGCUGAGGCGCGAAAAGCUAGGGGAGCGAACAGG
RNAcentral lists this ribosomal RNA (260 nucleotides) under uncultured bacterium. RNAcentral describes it as "partial 16S ribosomal RNA". It matches the Rfam family "Bacterial small subunit ribosomal RNA", at positions 524 to 776 of the family's 1533-position model. The record is from RNAcentral.